UCCUCGGCCUGCUGCGGGGUGACGUAGUGGAUGUGCGAGUCCACCCCGCCGGCGGUGAGGAUCCGGUGCUCCCCGGAGAUCACCUCGGUGGCCGCCCCGAUCACCAGCUCCGGGUCCACCCCGUCCUGGGUGUGCGGGUUGCCGGCCUUGCCGAUGCCCGCGAUCCGGCCGUCCCGGAUCCCGACGUCGCCCUUGACCACCCCGGCGACCGCGUCCACCACGAUCACGUCGGUGAUCACCAGGUCCAGCGCCCCGUCGGCGUGGGUGGCCGUCGGGUCCUGGGCCAUCCCGUCGCGGA
This 298-nucleotide small RNA is filed under the name Corynebacterium sphenisci DSM 44792. RNAcentral describes it as "5' ureB small RNA". It matches the Rfam family "5' ureB small RNA". Lineage: Bacteria; Bacillati; Actinomycetota; Actinomycetes; Mycobacteriales; Corynebacteriaceae. The record is from Rfam by way of RNAcentral.